Molecule: transfer RNA, 74 nt
Organism: Luteimonas sp. JM171
Lineage: Bacteria; Pseudomonadati; Pseudomonadota; Gammaproteobacteria; Lysobacterales; Lysobacteraceae
Rfam family: tRNA
About the family: Transfer RNA (tRNA) molecules are approximately 80 nucleotides in length. Their secondary structure includes four short double-helical elements and three loops (D, anti-codon, and T loops). Further hydrogen bonds mediate the characteristic L-shaped molecular structure. tRNAs have two regions of fundamental functional importance: the anti-codon, which is responsible for specific mRNA codon recognition, and the 3' end, to which the tRNAs corresponding amino acid is attached (by aminoacyl-tRNA synthetases). tRNAs cope with the degeneracy of the genetic code in two manners: having more than one tRNA (with a specific anti-codon) for a particular amino acid; and 'wobble' base-pairing, i.e. permitting non-standard base-pairing at the 3rd anti-codon position.
Source: Rfam
CGGGGUGUAGCGCAGCCUGGUAGCGCACCUGUCUGGGGGACAGGUGGUCGUCGGUUCGAAUCCGGCCACCCCGA